CCUGCAGGCGGCCGCGAAUUCACUAGUGAUUAGAGUUUGAUCAUGGCUCAGGAUGAACGCUGGCGGCGUGCUUAACACAUGUAAGUCGAACGGACGCUUUGASCAAUCGGAGCGUUAGUGGCAGACGGGUGCGUAACACGUGGGUGACCUACCUCGAAGUGGGGAAUAACAGACCGAAAGGUUUGCUAAUACCGCAUACGUUCGGCUCUUCAUUGAGCCGCGCAAAGCCGAAAGGCGCUUUGAGAGGGGCCCGCGGCCCAUCAGGUAGUUGGUGAGGUAAUGGCCCACCAAGCCGAUGACGGGUAGCUGUUCUGAGAGGAAGAUCAGCCACACUGSCMCUGAGAUACGGGCCAGACUCCUACGGGAGGCAGCAGUGAGGAAUAUUGCACAAUGGACGAAAGUCUGAUGCA
This 410-nucleotide ribosomal RNA is filed under the name uncultured bacterium. RNAcentral's name for it is "partial 16S ribosomal RNA". It matches the Rfam family "Bacterial small subunit ribosomal RNA", at positions 1 to 390 of the family's 1533-position model. The record is from RNAcentral.